GGGCCUGUAGCUUAAUGGGAAAGCUUCAACUUGUCAAGUUGGAAGAUGUUGGAUCGAGACCAACCAAGCCCG
RNAcentral lists this transfer RNA (72 nucleotides) under Gigaspora margarita. RNAcentral describes it as "tRNA-Asp". It matches the Rfam family "tRNA". Rfam says of the family: Transfer RNA (tRNA) molecules are approximately 80 nucleotides in length. Their secondary structure includes four short double-helical elements and three loops (D, anti-codon, and T loops). Lineage: Eukaryota; Fungi; Glomeromycota; Glomeromycetes; Diversisporales; Gigasporaceae. The record is from RNAcentral. RNAcentral also lists the same sequence under 2 other names.